RNAcentral lists this ribosomal RNA (304 nucleotides) under Drosophila equinoxialis. RNAcentral's name for it is "partial 12S ribosomal RNA". Lineage: Eukaryota; Metazoa; Arthropoda; Insecta; Diptera; Drosophilidae. The record is from RNAcentral.
AAAAUUUGUUAUUAAUUUGAUUUAUAUGUAAAUUUUUGUAUGAAUUUAUAUUUAUUUUAAAAAUAAAUAUAUUAUAUUUAUUCGCAGUAAUUAAUAUUAUUAAUUAAAGAAAUUUAGAAAUAGCAAUAUUAAAAAGUAUUGGCAAAAUUGGUGCCAGCAGUCGCGGUUACACCAAUAAUACAAAUAAAUUUUUUUAGUAAAAGUUAAAUGAUUAUAAAAUUAAAUAAAAUUGAAUUUAUUAGGUGAAAUUUUAAAUUUAAAUUAUUUAUUUGUAAAUAAAUUGAAACUAAAAAAUUUUAAUUAA